Molecule: ribosomal RNA, 502 nt
Filed under: uncultured bacterium
Lineage: Bacteria
Description: partial 16S ribosomal RNA
Rfam family: Bacterial small subunit ribosomal RNA
Source: RNAcentral
AGCGAACGCUGGCGGCGUGCCUAACACAUGCAAGUCGAACGUGAAAGGGAGCAAUCCCCAGUAACGUGGCGUACGGGUGAGUAACACGUAGGUAAUCUACCCCAGAAUCUGGAAUAACCGGCCGAAAGGCUGGCUAAUACUGGAUAGAGCGACGGAAUCCGUAAUUGGGUUUUUCGGGAAAGGGAGCCUGUAAAACGGCCUUCGUUCUGGGAUGAGCCUGCGUCCCAUCAGCUAGUUGGUGAGGUAAAAGCUUACCAAGGCAAUGACGGGUAGCUGGUCUGAGAGGACGAUCAGCCACACUGGAACUGAAACACGGUCCAGACUCCUACGGGAGGCAGCAGUGGGGAAUCUUGCGCAAUGGACGAAAGUCUGACGCAGUAACGCCGCGUGAGUGAAGAAGGCCUUCGGGUUGUAAAGCUCUGUCGAGUGGGACGAAAAUGCUUGGAGUUCACAGCUCCAGGAACUGACGGUACCACUAAAGGAAGCACCGGCUAACUCCGUG